This 85-nucleotide small RNA is filed under the name Flavobacterium haoranii. RNAcentral's name for it is "Flavobacterium sp. LQY-7 Flavo-1 RNA". It matches the Rfam family "Flavo-1 RNA". Lineage: Bacteria; Pseudomonadati; Bacteroidota; Flavobacteriia; Flavobacteriales; Flavobacteriaceae. The record is from Rfam by way of RNAcentral.
UCCUAGCCCUGAUGGAAGUGUAAAUCCUUUUUUGCUUUUAGCUUUAAGCUAACAAAAAAGAUUGUAACGCACAGCAGGAAAAUGG